This 321-nucleotide ribosomal RNA is filed under the name uncultured methane-seep sediment bacterium SB-3. RNAcentral describes it as "bacterial SSU rRNA". It matches the Rfam family "Bacterial small subunit ribosomal RNA", at positions 8 to 327 of the family's 1533-position model. The record is from RNAcentral.
AGAGUUUGAUCCUGGCUCAGAUUGAACGCUGGCGGCAGGCUUAACACAUGCAAGUCGAGCGGAAACGAUGGUAGCUUGCUACCAGGCGUCGAGCGGNGGACGGGUGAGUAAUACUUAGGAAUCUACCUAGUAGUGGGGGAUAGCACGGGGAAACUCGUAUUANUACCCCAUACGACCUACGGCAGAAAGGGGGCAGCCUACUGCUCUCGCUAUCAGAUGAGCCUAAGUCGGAUUAGCUAGAUGGUGGGGUAAAGGCCUACCAUCGCCGACGAUCUGUAGCUNGUCUGAGAGGAUGAUCAGCCACACCCCGNNCUNAGACAU